CACUAGUCGAGUCGGCCUGCGCGGAAGAUGUAACGGGGCUAAACUAUGUACCGAAGCUGCGGGCUUGCACUACGUGCAAGCGGUAGAGGAGCGUUCUGUAAGCCGAUGAAGGUCUGUUGAGAAGCAGGCUGGAGGUAUCAGAAGUGCGAAUGCUGACAUGAGUAACGAUAAGGGGAGUGAAAAACUCCCCCGCCGGAAGACCAAGGUUUCCUGCGCAACGUUAAUCGGCGCAGGGUGAGUCGGCCCCUAAGGCGAGGCAGAAAUGCGUAGUCGAUGGGAAAUUGGUUAAUAUUCCAAUACCUCUUUAGAGUGCGAUGGGGGGACGGAGAAGGCUAGGCCAGCGCGGCGACGGUUGUCCGCGUUUAAGCCGGUAGGCUUGCAUCUUAGGUAAAUCCGGGAUGCUCUAUGCCGAGACGUGAUGACGAAGAUUCUACGGAAUCGAAGUGGUCGAUGCCAUGCUUCCAGGAAAAGCCUCUAAGCUUCAGCUCUAAAGAGACCGUACCCCAAACCGACACAGGUGGUCAGGUAGAGAAUACUAAGGCGCUUGAGAGAACUCGGGUGAAGGAACUAGGCAAAAUGGCACCGUAACUUCGGGAGAAGGUGCGCCGGUUGGAGUGAAGGGUUUACCCCGUAAGCUCCGACUGGUCGAAGAUACCAGGUGGCUGCAACUGUUUACUAAAAACAUAGCACUGUGCAAACACGUAAGUGGACGUAUACGGUGUGACGCCUGCCCGGUGCCGGAAGGUUAAUUGAUGGGGUUAGCUUAUGCGAAGCUCUUGAUCGAAGCCCCGGUAAACGGCGGCCGUAACUAUAACGGUCCUAAGGUAGCGAAAUUCCUUGUCGGGUAAGUUCCGACCUGCACGAAUGGCGUAAUGAUGGCCACGCUGUCUCCACCCGAGACUCAGUGAAAUUGAAAUCGCAGUGAAGAUGCUGUGUAUCCGCGGCUAGACGGAAAGACCCCGUGAACCUUUACUACAGCUUCACAGUGGACUUUGAUAUGACUUGUGUAGGAUAGCUGGGAGGCUUUGAAACGUGGACGCCAGUUCACGUGGAGCCAAUCUUGAAAUACCAGCCUGGUCAUGUUGAGGUUCUAACUCAGUUCCCUUAGCGGGAUCGAGGACAUUGUGUGGUGGGUAGUUUGACUGGGGCGGUCUCCUCCCAAAGAGUAACGGAGGAGCACGAAGGUACCCUCAGCACGGUCGGACAUCGUGCAAUGAGUGCAAGCGCAUAAGGGUGCUUAACUGCGAGACUGACACGUCGAGCAGGUACGAAAGUAGGUGCUAGUGAUCCGGUGGUUCUGUAUGGAAGGGCCAUCGCUCAACGGAUAAAAGGUACUCCGGGGAUAACAGGCUGAUACCGCCCAAGAGUUCACAUCGACGGCGGUGUUUGGCACCUCGAUGUCGGCUCAUCACAUCCUGGGGCUGAAGCCGGUCCCAAGGGUAUGGCUGUUCGCCAUUUAAAGUGGUACGCGAGCUGGGUUUAGAACGUCGUGAGACAGUUCGGUCCCUAUCUGCCGUGGACGUUGGAGACUUGAGAAGAGCUGCUCCUAGUACGAGAGGACCGGAGUGGACGAACCUCUGGUGUUCGGGUUGUCAUGCCAAUGGCAUUGCCCGGUAGCUAUGUUCGGACAGGAUAACCGCUGAAAGCAUCUAAGCGGGAAGCCCCCUUCAAGAUGAGGUCUCACUGAAGCCUUGAGCUUCCUAAAGGGCCCUUGAAGACUACAAGGUUGAUAGGUCAGGUGUGUAAGCGUUGUGAGGCGUUGAGCUAACUGAUACUAAUGGCCCGUGAGGCUUGACCAU
Molecule: non-coding RNA, 1799 nt
Filed under: Oceanospirillum linum
Lineage: Bacteria; Pseudomonadati; Pseudomonadota; Gammaproteobacteria; Oceanospirillales; Oceanospirillaceae
Description: Bacterial large subunit ribosomal RNA
Rfam family: Bacterial large subunit ribosomal RNA
Source: Rfam by way of RNAcentral